AGAACUUUCUUUGUAUUUCUUUGGGUUAACGAUCUAUUUCCCCCACGAGAACUAUCAUAUAGCAUCAGAUUCCCACCAAACUAUGACUUCAUGCUAAAUCUCCAUGAAUUAAAAGUUUCAAAUCUAUUUAUCCCUGAAACAAUAGUUUGAAACUUAAUUAUCCAUAGACAAUGGUUUUAAUUGGUUUAUUCUAAACCAACUAAACCAAAACAAAACCCAAUUAACUAACAAAUACAAUGUCGGGUUCUCCGCCUCUAACCCAUCACACAUCGCCUUCGAGCAUCACCACAAUCAUUCCUCCUCCGCGCGACUAAACGCAGUUCCUCCGGUGGAAUCUCCAUCACUGUGAAUCAUCAUCAUAUAUGCUUAGACAACCAUUCUCUCUCCGAUUGUAUCUUCAAAUCUUGCGGCUCAGUUUGUCUAUCUGUUCUCGAGCAUCCAAAGAUGAGAGCUGUUCUAACGCAAGUUGGGUUAACGCAAGCUCGAGUGCUGUUCAUCAUUAUCAUCUCAUAUGAGGAAUAUAUUUGGUAUAAUAUUAAUAAAUGUAAUAGCCACAAUAAAUUAAAAUUAUUAAUACAUUGAAAAUUUAUUUGAAAAACAACUCUUCAAAAUUGUUUUGUAUGACCUUAAAUAUACAAAUUUUAAAAUCAUUCCUCCACAUCUAUGAAAUUUGUCCAACAAAUACACAAUUAAAAAAUAUUAGUUAUCAAAUAUUAAACACAUGACUUUAAAAUUAAACAAAUAAAUAUAUAUUUUUUAAAUAAAUAAAUUUUAAAACGCGAGUUAAAAUCUAGUAUAUACUACUAGGAUUAUGCCCUUGGUUUUUCAAGUUAUUUACGGAGGAAUGCCAUUACCUUUUUCUUUUGUUUUCUUUCUUUAAAAAACGCUGGCUUUAUAUAUAAUUAAUCGAAAUUCAUCUUUAAUAUAAAACAAUAACCUUACCGCAAUAUUUAAUAUACUUCCAUUUUUAAGUUUAUUCCAAGCCAAAUACACUAAAAAACUAACCAAUUACAUAUAUAUAUAUGUGUAUGUAAUCGAUGUGUCAAUUGUAUCUGAGAUAUUGCAAUUAAAGAAUUGAAGAAAUCAUUCCUAAUUAAUAGUGGAUAUCUUUGACGAUUUUUUUAUUCUGUGUAUUGAAAAGUAUUUUUUUUAAUCAAUGAGUUUAAGAAUGGGUGUUCUCUAAAAUUGUUAUAUAAUUCAAUGAAUCAAGUUGUGGUUGAUGUUUUUACAAUCUCAAAUUUUAUUCUAUUAAAUAUGUAAAAUAUUUAAUAAAUUACAAUAUGUUGAUGUUUUUACAAUCUCAAAUUUUAUUCUAUUAAAUAUGUAAAAUAUUUAAUAAAUUACAAUAUGUUGAUGUUUUUACAAUCUCAAAUUUUAUUCUAUUAAAUAUGUAAAAUAUUUAAUAAAUUACAAUAUGUUGAACAAAAAAAUUAAAUCAGUUUUUAUAAAAUUAUUUAAAAAACAUAAACAGUACAAAGGAUCAAAAAUUAUAUUAUAAUUGUGAUCUAAUCUCAAGUCAAAAAAUAAGUUGGAACCUAACAAAAAUACAAAUAGAGCUUCGUAAUAUAUAUUUCAAAUUAUUUUCACAAACACAAACCAAUAUGACAAAAUAAGUUGCAUCUUCUAUUCACAAAUUUAAGAUAGAGGAAUAAACUAUGCAGUUAUAACAAUUUUAAUAAAAUAUUUCUCAUAUUAAUUUCAGUUAUUUAAUUAACAUAGUAUAAAGGUGGGUCAUAAUUCUUUCCACUCCCAGAAAUUUAGUACACCAUAAAAACAAAUAAAAUAAAUUUGAACUUCAAAAUAUAGAUAAAAAUGGAAUUAUAAUUUCUAUUAAAAAUAAAUUUGUCAAUCAAAAAUAAUCGAGUAAAAUAUUAAAAUACACAUGUUUUCAUAACGAACCAAAUAAAUUUAUAAUAUAAUUUGAAACUGUAAAACAUAUUGAUUAGGGUAUUUUUGAUAUCAGGACUGUAUUAAUAAAAAAUAAAGUGAAUAUCCGACCAAAAACUUGGUGCGCAAGGCUGUAUCAAUAAAAAAUAAGGAUAGUGAAUAUGAGAGUAAAGAACCUAACCUUGGUGGGCAAGGCUAUUUCUCUGUAUUAAUGGAGAUGUUUUAGGUGGAGAAGAUGGAAGAUCAUUAGAUCUCUCUUGGCUUUUUGUUUAACAGCACUGAUCAUGUCUUUGUUUCUCAGCCGUCUCCGCC
This 2199-nucleotide long non-coding RNA is filed under the name Brassica napus (rape). RNAcentral describes it as "long non-coding RNA (BNAP_LNC023670)". The record is from RNAcentral. Lineage: Eukaryota; Viridiplantae; Streptophyta; Magnoliopsida; Brassicales; Brassicaceae.